RNAcentral lists this ribosomal RNA (440 nucleotides) under uncultured bacterium. RNAcentral describes it as "partial 16S ribosomal RNA". It matches the Rfam family "Bacterial small subunit ribosomal RNA", at positions 338 to 795 of the family's 1533-position model. The record is from RNAcentral.
CCUACGGGAGACAGCAGUGGGGAAUAUUGCACAAUGGGGGAAACCCUGAUGCAGCGACGCCGCGUGAAGGAAGAAGUAUUUCGGUAUGUAAACUUCUAUCAGCAGGGAAGAAAAUGACGGUACCUGACUAAGAAGCCCCGGCUAACUACGUGCCAGCAGCCGCGGUAAUACGUAGGGGGCAAGCGUUAUCCGGAUUUACUGGGUGUAAAGGGAGCGUAGGCGGUUUAGCAAGUCAGAAGUGAAAGCCCGGGGCUCAACUCCGGGACUGCUUUUGAAACUGUUGAACUAGAGUGCAGGAGAGGUAAGUGGAAUUCCUGGUGUAGCGGUGAAAUGCGUAGAUAUUAGGAGGAACACCAGUGGCGAAGGCGGCUUACUGGACUGUAAAUGACGCUGAGGCUCGAAAGCGUGGGGAGCAAACAGGAUUAGAUACCCUGGUAGUC